This is a long non-coding RNA of Callithrix jacchus (white-tufted-ear marmoset), 4758 nucleotides long. The record is from Ensembl. NCBI's taxonomy places the organism in Eukaryota, Metazoa, Chordata, Mammalia, Primates, Cebidae.
AUGUACUUUUUCUUCUAUACUAUUUCUGAGAAAUGUAUUAUUUUAACCUUUGGAACAUUUAUUUUUGGACAGGUGACAAUAGUGUCCCAUGCUCCUGAAUCAUGGCAGCCCUUCCUUCACUGUGCACUUAUGAAUCUACUACUCAGAACUGGAUCCCAGGAUUUUGACAUCUCAUAAGAAGAUCAUGCUGGAGAAAACCAGAAUAUUUUACCCCACAAUAUGAGUAAACAAACCGCCUCAAGGUGUCUCUGACUAUGACCUCCACCUUUGUCUCUCAAUCCUUUGUCUCUCUCCCAAAGCACAUGAUAAGGCUGCUCUCUGAAGUUCCCUUAUCUACUCAGAAAUUGGACCCCCCCCAAAGUGGAACACUGCUUUCCAUCCCCUCCCUGAAAUCUCAUUAUCUACCAAGGAGAGAAGACUGAGCAAUGCAAUUACACCUGGACAGACUUAUUCCCAAGAUGAUGCUUGUUUCUGGAGCACAUACAAAUUCCAAAGAGAAUCAAUUCCAAGUUAACUUCUGUCUUCCAAGUCCAUUCUGUUUUCCUAAUAACCAUUAAUUGCCCCUUAAAAAAACCUGUCUACAUUCCCCAUCUCUCCCCUUCCCUAUGAAGAAGGGUAUAUAAAUUUCUGUACCCCAUUGGGUUAUUGGGCAAUAAUUCCCCUGUGAUUCUCCCAUCCUAUGUACAUUAAAAUAAUGUUUGCUUAUUUUAUUCACGGUGAAGCUGCCUUUUGUAGUUGAAUUUUUAGUGAAAUUUCAGGGGGUAAAGGGGAAGCUUUCCCUUGUCCCCUACAAUGCCUGUCCCUGUGGAUUCAGGAAAGGAUGAGAGACACAUGGAGCAGAGCUGAACCAGCCCACCCUAGCUAGAAUAGCCUGUGCCAAGUCACCCAGCAGAGUUGCAUGCCAUCUAAGUGUUUAACAUCUCCUACUGCGGUGUACAGUUGCUUUGCAGUUUUAGUGUUAAAAAGCUAGCUAAUACUAACAGUUUUAUUUUGUUGAUAUAUUAAAAUUAAUUUUAGUUUUUAAAGAUACCUUCUACUUUUUCAAAUCACUGCCUUUGUCCUUAAUACCCAAUAUUAUCUUCUCAUUUUCCCAGGAUAUAACAUAUAUGUUGGGCAAAUUUCAUAACUGUUUUCUUCAGUCAUGUACUGAAAAACAAAUAGCAAAAUCAAGUGGUACCGCCAUAAUGACAGUCAUAUAGACUAACAGAAUAAAAUAGAGAGCCCAGAAAUAAACUCCCACAUAUACCAACAAAUAAUAUUUUAGUAAGGGCACCAAGACCACUUACUGGGAAAAGGACAAUCUUUUCAACAAACAGUGUUGGGAAACUGGAUAUCCAAAUGCAAAAGAAUGAAAUUCAACUCUUACCUUAUACCAUUGGCAAAAAUUAACUCAAAGUCGAUCGCAGACCUAAACAUUAACAGCUAAAACAAUAGAAUUCUUAGAAGAAAACAUGGUAAAAGAUUUAUGAUGCUGGACUUUGCAACGACUCUUUACAUAUGACACCAAAAGCACAGACGACAAAAGACAAAAUAAAUAAAUUGGACCUCAUCAAAAUUAAAGCCUUUUGUGCAUCAAAGGACACUAUCAACAGAGUGAAAAGACAAUUUACAGAAUGGAGAAAAUAUUUGCAAAUCAUGUAUCUGAUAAGUAAUUAACAUCCAGAAUAUAUGAAGAACUCUUACAACUCAGCAACACCAACAAAAUCCAACUUAAAAAUAGACAAAAGACUUGAAUAGACACUUAAAAAAAACCAUAAAUGGCCAAUAAACACACGAAAAGAUGUUCAACAUCAUUUUGCUAAUCAUAAGAAAAGUGCAAAUCAAAACCACAAUGAGAUACCACUUUAUACCCACCAGAUCAGCCAUUAUAAAAACAAACAAAACAAUAGGAAACAACAGGUGUUGAUGAGGAUGUGGAGAAAAAGGAAUCUUUCUGUAUUCUGGCGGGAAUGUAAGUGGUACCUCUUCAGUAAGAAACAAAAGUAAAUCUAGAAAUACUAUAUAAUCCAGCAGUUCUACUUUUAAGUAUGCCACCUGAAGAAUCAAAAUCAGGAACUCAAACUGAUUUUGAAACACUCAUGUUUUUAGCAGUAUUAUUCAUGAUAACAAAACAUAUAAACAAUCCAACUAUUCAUCAAGCGGGUAAAAACUGUGAAAUAUACAUGCAAUGGAACACGAUUUCACCUUAAAAAGGAAGGAAAUCCUGACACCUAUUAUAACCUGGGUGAACCUAGAAGAUAUUACGCUAGGUAAAAUAAAUCAGUCAUGAAAGAAUGCAUACUGUAUACUUCCAGCUAUGUAAAGUACUUAGAGUAGUCACAUUGGUAGAGACAGAAAGUACAAGCAUGGUUGACAGACACUGGAAUAAUGGGAAGUUAUUGCUUAAUGGGUAUUAAGUUUCAGUCUGGGAAGAUAAAAAGUUCUGGGGAUCGAUUAUGGUGAUGGUUGAACAAUGAUUUGAGUGACUGUACUUACUGCCAUUGAACUGUACAUAUAAAAAUGGUUAAAUGGUAAAUUUUAUAUAUGUUUGAUCACAAUAAAACAAACAGAUAAAAACCUUAAAAGCAAGCAAACUGAUUUCAGACCAUUUUACUCUUCUGAACCAUCCAAUUGAGCAUUGAUCCUGAGUUGACACUAAGUAAACCUCAAACUUAGGAUCCUAAAGCAGAGGGUGGUGGGAGGAAGACAUGCUAAGACAUGCAGGUUGUAUCUGUUGUUGAUGGGUUUUAUUUUCAGUCUCCUCCCACCUUCUUCUAGUUCUAUCUUUCUAGAGUUAAAGUCUAGAGGAAGAGUUGAGAGAGAUGUUAGGGGUUAUUUAAUGGAGCAAUUCCAUUGAUUCUGGUGAAGAGAUACUUUCUGUCACUUUCUGGCUUGGUAUAGUCUGACUGCUGCUGUAGCCUCAGCUGGUAUGUGGUUUCUAUGCGUGGCAUGCUCUCCCAAGAUCUCUGCCUCUUACCUGGCUCUGUUUCCAUUGAAACCCUGUGGCAAGACUGCUGAUUCUGUAACUCAGCAAGUAUCCAGGCAGGGAGCGAGAUGCCAGCCUCCCUUUACUUUAAUUUACUACCUAUAAUUUACUUUAAAACACAUCAGUAUAGACAGUGGGAUAUAAUGGCCUGUGCAUUGAAUUCAUUCUCUUGGAAAAGUUUGUCCACAUUUAAUGUAAUCUAAUCAGAAAUGCAUAGUCCAAUGAAGCAUAGCUAGCAUUUGAAGAUUUCAAUCAGGGAUCUACAGAUUGCUAAGAUAUGCAUUUUCAAUCUUUAUUGGAGGACUGACUUACUAGGAUAAGGUAUAUGUGAAGAAUGAAGUGUGGAGUUUAGAAUAUGGGGUUGGCUAAAAAGUCUGUCCUUGUAUAAACGGGUGAACCAUAGUCAAUCUGUCCACUCUUGCAACCUAACACAUUUAGAGAAAUACAUUUGGUCCAUGGCAUUCUAUACUCUGUCUUGCCCACUUCACCCCACAGUCUGAAGGAUUCUGUUAUCUGAUUCAAUUAGAAAAUUAGUUGAUCAUGCUAUCAGAACAUUGCUGAAAACUUUCAUGUGGCCAGUUGUCAAAGCACCUAACAGCCAGAGUAGGAAUUCCCUGAGUUUACAGAAAAAGAUUGAAUGUUCCAUUUUUGUGUCUGUUUGCUAAAAAAUGUUUACGUGAGUCAUGAAAUUUGUUCCAAACCCUUAGUAGGUGCUCAAUAAUGCCUGCAGAAUAAAACUUGCAUAGGAACCUAAAAGACCUCCUAUUUCUCACUUGCAAAAGAAGAAAUGAGGCCUGACUAGAAACUGAGCAAUCAGGAAAAUUUAUUUAUAUGUGAGAAUCUAAUACACAGAGAUAACUGGAUAUGGAUAGCUAGACAGAUGAAUAAUAGAUAGAUAAAUGAACUAUUUCAUUGCUUCCAUGUCUGUUUAUAAGGGUUAAAGGGUUCAUCUACAAUUCUCUUUACAUGCUUAACCUCUCCUAAGAGUCAGGAAUAAUGCACCCUCUUGCAGCCCAUUCCAGGGGACACCAAGUGAAGUGUCUCCCUUGAGUCCAAUUACACCCUCUUCCAAAUAGGAGCCCUGUUACUUUCAUGAAAUUGUAAAAUCUCAGAGGAAUAGCAGCUGCUUCUGCAGCUGUAAUGCUGAAUAGAACCUUAAGUAAAUAGCUAGAAAGGCCAGUGAACAAUGAAUUAUAAUAAACCAACUAUAAUUAGUAAUAAAAGCCUUAAAAUAACUGUACUCAUGAGAUAGUAUUGGUCAUAUCCUUGCUGUGUUCUGGAAAUAAUAGAAUCAUUUUUUUCACCCAGUGUAACUACAAUGGUAAUUAAAAGCUGAUUUAGGAUCAAAGGCAACCUCAAGGUUAUAAAUGUAAGUAGCUCGCUCUGAAAGUGUAAGUAGCUUGUUCAUAUUCACGUAUUCACAUUUAAAAUAAAAAUUGGGAAGGGGCUUUCAUAGUCUGCUUUAGAAAAAAAUAUCAGCUGAUAAGUGAAGCAAAUCACUCAAUUGAUUCAAAAGCAUUGCCUAAACAUUUUGAGGAGAGAAGACACAAGUCGGCAGGAGGGGGAAGAAGUAUCUGUUUAUACAGUGCUUUCUCUCUAGAAAGGAAAAUUUUAAUUGCUAAUGCCCAUGAUGUAAGAUGUGAAAGAAAUUGAACUAAUAGUGAAUAAUAUAAGCAAAAGUAGUUGAUUGAUACUUCCAACAGUUUUUAGCAAAGGUAGGGACUUUCUGGUCCUAAACCAAUUUCACCUUUGCUGUGUGGUACAAAUAUCUAUUUAUCAUUGUAUUUUUCUCA